CCUACGGGAGGCAGCAGUGGGGAAUCUUGCGCAAUGGGCGAAAGCCUGACGCAGCAACGCCGCGUGCGGGAAGAAGGCUUUCGGGCUGUAAACCGCUUUCAGUAGGAACGAAACUGACGGUACCUACAGAAGAAGGAGCGGCCAACUAUGUGCCAGCAGCCGCGGUGACACAUAGGCUCCAAGCGUUGUCCGGAUUUAUUGGGCGUAAAGAGCUCGUAGGCGGUUGAGUAAGUCGGGUGUGAAAACUUUGGGCUUAACCCAAAGAUGCCACUCGAUACUGUUCAACUUGAGUUUGGUAGGGGAGUGGGGAAUUCCUUGUGUAGCGGUGAAAUGCGCAGAUAUAAGGAGGAACACCGGUGGCGAAGGCGCCACUCUGGGCCAAUACUGACGCUGAGGAGCGAAAGCGUGGGGAGCAAACAGGAUUAGAUACCCUGGUAGUCCACGCGGUAAACGGUGGUCACUAGGUGUGGGUCUCUAACCAAUGAGAUCCGCGCCGUCGCUAACGCAUUAAGUGACCCGCCUGGGGAGUACGGUCGCAAGACUAAAACUCAAAGGAAUUGACGG
Molecule: ribosomal RNA, 564 nt
Filed under: uncultured Actinomycetes bacterium
Lineage: Bacteria; Bacillati; Actinomycetota; Actinomycetes
Description: bacterial SSU rRNA
Rfam family: Bacterial small subunit ribosomal RNA
Source: RNAcentral